Molecule: long non-coding RNA, 541 nt
Organism: Bos indicus x Bos taurus (hybrid cattle)
Lineage: Eukaryota; Metazoa; Chordata; Mammalia; Artiodactyla; Bovidae
Source: Ensembl
CCCUACUCUACCAGGCUACUCCAGAAGAGUCCGGAAUAGAUUCUCCUGCCAGUGUGUUAAAUUUGCUCGCAGGUUCACCUUUGUGUGUCCACCAGCAUGAACUGCAUAAGGGAAUGCAAAUGAGCCCCUACCUGGGGAAAUCUGAGGCCAGAAGGAAGACAACGUGCAGGAGAGGAAGGUGACGGCAAUUAAAGAAGGGAUCGCCUCACUCCAGAAUGUCCGAGGCCCUUUGGAGAAACUGCUGUUUCCCCCAAACCCUCUACAUGGCCGCUUGCUAGCAGGUCUCCCCAGCGAUCACCUCCAUUGGUUUUGUCCUUUUGGCAAAACUGUUUGUUGAAUCAAUGUCAGCACUGCGAGUGAGGCCAGAAACCCCUCUCACAACCUUGGCCGAAGCAGGAAUUCAUGGGAGCUGCAAAGGGUUACGAAUAAAAUGCAGUCACAAAGGAAGAAGGUUGAAACCACCAGCAUUCUGGAAAAGGCAGCAUGGGGAAGCAGACUCAGAGCUGAUGACUCAAACCACUCAUUCUCCAGUCUUAUUUUA